This 499-nucleotide ribosomal RNA is filed under the name uncultured bacterium. Its description in RNAcentral is "partial 16S ribosomal RNA". It matches the Rfam family "Bacterial small subunit ribosomal RNA", at positions 28 to 507 of the family's 1533-position model. The record is from RNAcentral.
GACGAACGCUGGCGGCGUGCCUAAUACAUGCAAGUCGAGCGGACUUUCAAGAAGCUUGCUUUUUGAAAGUUAGCGGCGGACGGGUGAGUAACACGUGGGCAACCUGCCUGCAAGACGGGGAUAACUCCGGGAAACCGGGGCUAAUACCGGAUAAUAUCUUCCUUCGCAUGAAGGAAGGUUGAAAGGCGGCGCAAGCUGCCGCUUGCAGAUGGGCCCGCGGCGCAUUAGCUAGUUGGUGAGGUAACGGCUCACCAAGGCGACGAUGCGUAGCCGACCUGAGAGGGUGAUCGGCCACACUGGGACUGAGACACGGCCCAGACUCCUACGGGAGGCAGCAGUAGGAAAUCUUCCGCAAUGGACGAAAGUCUGACGGAGCAACGCCGCGUGAGCGAAGAAGGUCUUCGGAUCGUAAAGCUCUGUUGUCAGGGAAGAACAAGUACCGUUCGAACAGGGCGGUACCUUGACGGUACCUGACCAGAAAGCCACGGCUAACUACGUG